This 591-nucleotide ribosomal RNA is filed under the name Saccharomyces cerevisiae (brewer's yeast). Its description in RNAcentral is "eukaryotic LSU rRNA". It matches the Rfam family "Eukaryotic large subunit ribosomal RNA", at positions 52 to 657 of the family's 3401-position model. The record is from RNAcentral. Lineage: Eukaryota; Fungi; Ascomycota; Saccharomycetes; Saccharomycetales; Saccharomycetaceae.
GGAGGAAAAGAAACCAACCGGGAUUGCCUUAGUAACGGCGAGUGAAGCGGCAAAAGCUCAAAUUUGAAAUCUGGUACCUUCGGUGCCCGAGUUGUAAUUUGGAGAGGGCAACUUUGGGGCCGUUCCUUGUCUAUGUUCCUUGGAACAGGACGUCAUAGAGGGUGAGAAUCCCGUGUGGCGAGGAGUGCGGUUCUUUGUAAAGUGCCUUCGAAGAGUCGAGUUGUUUGGGAAUGCAGCUCUAAGUGGGUGGUAAAUUCCAUCUAAAGCUAAAUAUUGGCGAGAGACCGAUAGCGAACAAGUACAGUGAUGGAAAGAUGAAAAGAACUUUGAAAAGAGAGUGAAAAAGUACGUGAAAUUGUUGAAAGGGAAGGGCAUUUGAUCAGACAUGGUGUUUUGUGCCCUCUGCUCCUUGUGGGUAGGGGAAUCUCGCAUUUCACUGGGCCAGCAUCAGUUUUGGUGGCAGGAUAAAUCCAUAGGAAUGUAGCUUGCCUCGGUAAGUAUUAUAGCCUGUGGGAAUACUGCCAGCUGGGACUGAGGACUGCGACGUAAGUCAAGGAUGCUGGCAUAAUGGUUAUAUGCCGCCCGUCUUGA